AUGAAGAACAAGGAGGGCGGUGAUUUGAAGCGUUUGUGGGACAGAGCUGCUUCAAAGGCGCCGAAGAUAAGUUCAACAUCAACACCAACAUCGGUAUCUAUCGAUGCUGAAAACCAAGAUCAAGAUCAAAAUGUUUGUAACCCACCUUCCAACGAACUACAGUUGGCACUAGUGCAGACAAGUAAUAACAGUGGCAUGGAACCAGAGAUAGGUUCGCCAGAUGUAGAAGAUGAAGAUUCGGAUGAAGAAUUUGAUGAUGAAGCAGUGUAUGUACUUCAGCCUGAUCCCGGGAAGAGGAUUCCCAUCAUGAACUAUGACGUCAAUGACCAAGACUUGGUGAGAAGGAGAUACAUUGCAAUGGGGGCUUGUCAACCAAAGAAACAUCAAUUCAAAAUAACAAAAAUUGGAGGUAAUAACCGUCGCUUUUCAGCUCAUUGGUUUGACACAUGCGAAUGGCUUGAGUAUAGUGUUGAACUAGAUGCGGUGUUUUGCUUUGUUUGCUACUUGUUCAAGGAUAAAACUAAACAUAAAGGUGGUGAUGCUUUUGUGAAAGGAGGGUUCAGAAAUUGGAACAUGAUGAAAAAUAGGUGUGGAAAACAUUCUGGUUCUCUCACUAGUGCUCAUUGUGAAGCUCAAGAGAAAUAUGAUUUGUUCAUUAAGCCCGAUGCAUCAAUUAGGCAGUCUAUGGCUUCAACUUCCAAACAAGCCAAGGCUCGAUAUAUUUCUCGACUAGGUUAUUCUAUUUACUGUCUGAGAUUUCUUUUGAAGCAAGGCUUGGCUUUUCGCGGUCAUGAUGAAAGUGAAGAAUCACUUAACAAGGGGAAUUUUCUUGAGCUUUUAAAUCAUCUAGCAGAAAGGUUUGAAGAUGUCGACAAAGUGGUUCUAAGAAAUGCUCCAAAGAACUGUAAAAUGACAUGCCAUGAUAUACAGUUAGAACUCAUCAAUUGUUGUGCUAAAGAGACAACUAGUCUCAUCAUGAAAGAUCUUGGUGAAGAAUAUUUUGCCAUACUUGCCGAUGAAUCUAGUGAUGUGUACCAACGGGAAGAAUUGGCUCUUUGCUUGCGGUAUGUUGACAAAAUUGGAUGGCCGGUUGAGAGAUUUCUUGGAAUUGUCCAUGUUGAGGACACUACCUCUCUGACACUUAAAAAGGCAAUUGAGAAACUAUUGAUGGAAAAUUCUUUGAGUUUUUCUAUGGUUCGUGGACAAGGAUACGACGGGGCCAGCAACAUGAAGGGUAAGGCUAAUGGUUUGAAGAAAUUAAUUAUGGAUGAGUCUCCUUCUGCUUAUUAUGUUCAUUGCUUUGCCCAUCAACUUCAGUUAACUCUAGUUGCUGUUGCUAAAGAGAAUGGUGACUGCUUUUCAUUCUUUCAACAACUUUCAUCUUUGUUGAAUGUCCUGGGUUUGUCUUGCAAAAAGAUACAAAUGUUUCGAGAAGCUCAAGCUGAUUAUCUUAUUGAAGCAUUGCAAUUAGAUGAAAUUGAAACCGGCAAAGGGCAAAACCAGGAGAUGGGUUUGGGAAGACCAUGUGAAACUCGUUGGGGAUCCCACUCUAAAACGGUGUCACAUGUUCUUUCUUUGUACCCUUCAAUCCAGAAAGUUCUCAAAAGGAUUGGAAAAGAGUAUAACAGUGCUGAGGGUAUUGGAGCUCAAACUAUAUUGAGAUCAUUUGAGUCAUUUGAGUUUGUUUUCAUGUUGCACUUGAUGGAAGAACUAUUUGGGUACACAGAUGUCUUGAGCCAAGCUUUGCAAAGGAGGGAUCAAGAUAUUGUGAAUGCUAUUGAUCUAAUUUCUCUCACUAAGCAACAAUUGUUGAACCUGCGAGAAGAUAGUGGGUGGGAAUUAUUUCUAGAAAAUGUCAAGUCUUUUUGUCUGAAGCAUAAGAUCAAAGUGCCCGACAUGGAUGGAUUCUAUAAGUCAGCUCUACGAUCUAAUAAGUUCUUCAAGAAAGUUAAGAAUCUCCAUCGCUUUCGUAUUGAUAUGUUUUUGGGUCUCAUUGAUAGGCAACUUCAAGAGCUCAACAAUAGGUUUGAUGAGGUAAACACCGAAUUACUUGUCUGUAUGGCAUCAUUCAAUCCUGUUGAUUCAUUUGCUGCUUAUGAUCAAGAGAAGUUGGUCAAGCUUGCCCACUUUUAUCCUAAGGAUUUCUCAAAGACGGAAAUAUUGAAACUUCCUUAUGAAUUGUCAAUGUUUAUUGCUGAUAUGCGUAGAGAUGAAAGAUUUAGAAAGGUGAAGAAUAUUGCCCAACUUUCAGCCAAGCUUGUUGAGACAAAGAAGAACAAUAUCAUAUGCCAUUGUUUACAAGCUUCUCAAGUUGGUCUUAAUUCUGCCGGUGGCGACUGCUAG
This 2343-nucleotide ribosomal RNA is filed under the name Triticum aestivum (bread wheat). RNAcentral describes it as "partial small subunit ribosomal RNA". The record is from RNAcentral. Lineage: Eukaryota; Viridiplantae; Streptophyta; Magnoliopsida; Poales; Poaceae.